AUGGCGGAUGCACCUCUUUACAAGCGGCGUCGCGGGUACACCAGGGAGCUCCACGACGCUGACCUCCACGGAAACCAUAAGCUCCACGUCGUUUGCACAAGCAAGGGUGAAGACGUGGACAAGAUGUUGUCAACGCUCAGGAGGAAGCUCGGCGGAAUGCCCGUCAAACUAGUCGGCGUUGAUGUUGAGUACGCGCACUACGUGAAGCCACAGCCAAUGGAACUAGACAAAUUCCUCAUGAAUGGUGAGUACACCUUCCUCGGAUUCGCCAUUGAAGGAGACAAAAGCAAGGUGAAGCUAUCUGGUUUGGAGAUCAACUCCGACACCUACAUUGAUAUUCAGGUGGAAUGGAGAGACCCAUACAAUAAAAAGAAGUUUGACUCUUUGGCUUAUGUUGCCGGUAGGAUGAUAAACAUUCACUACAAUGACAUGAAGAAGAAAAUUAACCGCAAGGAGGACCAUACUCUGUGGGGAUUCUGCCCACUGCCAGAAAAGCUUAUCAAGUAUGCAGCAACAGAUGCAUUCGCAACAUAUGUGUCAUGGAGAAUCAUC
RNAcentral lists this ribosomal RNA (552 nucleotides) under Triticum aestivum (bread wheat). Its description in RNAcentral is "partial small subunit ribosomal RNA". Lineage: Eukaryota; Viridiplantae; Streptophyta; Magnoliopsida; Poales; Poaceae. The record is from RNAcentral.